This 384-nucleotide ribosomal RNA is filed under the name uncultured bacterium. Its description in RNAcentral is "bacterial SSU rRNA". It matches the Rfam family "Bacterial small subunit ribosomal RNA", at positions 29 to 416 of the family's 1533-position model. The record is from RNAcentral.
AUUGAACGCUGGCGGAAUGCUUUACACAUGCAAGUCGAACGGCAGCACGGGGCAACCUGGUGGCGAGUGGCGAACGGGUGAGUAAUACAUCGGAACGUGCCCAAUCGUGGGGGAUAACGUAGCGAAAGUUACGCUAAUACCGCAUACGAUCUACGGAUGAAAGCGGGGGAUCGCAAGACCUCGCGCGAAUGGAGCGGCCGAUGUCAGAUUAGGUAGUUGGUGGGGUAAAGGCUCACCAAGCCGACGAUCUGUAGCUGGUCUGAGAGGACGAUCAGCCACACUGGGACUGAGACACGGCCCAGACUCCUACGGGAGGCAGCAGUGGGGAAUAUUGGACAAUGGGCGCAAGCCUGAUCCAGCCAUUCCGCGUGCAGGAUGAAGGCC